UUUAAAAGCAGUUUUCUUUAUUUGCUUUGUUUUGUUCAAAAUGAUAUCUGGUGCUCUUUUCUUCAUCUACAUUUCCUGGGCAAAGUCAGAAUACUGAAUAUCUUGAAAGAAAGAAAGGGAUGCCAGCAGACAGAUUGCCAAUCUUCUCCGUGUCUUUCAGACAUGUACUGUUUUCUUCUAGGCCCACCAAAGAAGAUUCCUUUUGAAGAUGAUCAAGGAGACAAAGGGAGAGAGAGCUUAAAUUUAGAUGUGGAAUACAGCAACUGAAGUACUCUCUUGGUCAGAUAUAGGAGUUGUCAUAAUUCAAUCCGGUAUCUCUGGCGCGUGGCCCUCAUUUGUACACACGGGGAAGGACUCCACAUCACCAACUUCACAAGUUCCAGAUUUUUCGGUGGAUCAGAAUCUGACACCAAAUCCUGAUGUAACAUGGAACAGUGUAAUGGCCACCAAAACUGUGAAGAGCAGGUGGCUGGACCAGGAGGUAAAGAGGAUGCAGGGGGUCGUCUGGAAGAUAAGCAAAGGCAUUGUUCAAGGCCUCUGAGUGUAAACAUUUACAGGAGAGUGCUGAAGCCGGGGACAGCCAGUUAAUCUGUGCCUCUGCGCUUCCUCUGAGUUUGUUUUUCAGACAGGUAAAGGGAGAGCUGUCUGAGGUCUCUUGCAGUGUUGAGGAACCCAGGUUGUGUAAAUACAGACAAGUUAUUUGUCUGUGCCUCGGUCUCCUCAUCUGGGUGUCAUGACAGGGCCCCGUCCGUUCCCUGGGAGGGUUCAGAGCCACAGAAAGUGCAAAGCACUUAGUACAGCACCUCACACAUCAUGUUGCUGUUAGUCACCC
RNAcentral lists this long non-coding RNA (832 nucleotides) under Cervus hanglu yarkandensis (Yarkand deer). Its description in RNAcentral is "lncRNA (ENSCHYG00000000094.1)". Lineage: Eukaryota; Metazoa; Chordata; Mammalia; Artiodactyla; Cervidae. The record is from RNAcentral.